UACGUAGGGUGCAAGCGUUGUCCGGAAUUAUUGGGCGUAAAGAGCUCGUAGGCGGUCUGUCGCGUCGGACGUGAAAACCCAGGGCUCAACCCUGGGCCUGCGUUCGAUACGGGCAGACUAGAGUUCGGUAGGGGAGACUGGAAUUCCUGGUGUAGCGGUGAAAUGCGCAGAUAUCAGGAGGAACACCGGUGGCGAAGGCGGAUCUCUGGGCCUUACCUGACGCUGAGACGCGAAAGCUAGGGGAGCGAACAGG
RNAcentral lists this ribosomal RNA (253 nucleotides) under uncultured bacterium. Its description in RNAcentral is "partial 16S ribosomal RNA". It matches the Rfam family "Bacterial small subunit ribosomal RNA", at positions 524 to 776 of the family's 1533-position model. The record is from RNAcentral.